This 253-nucleotide ribosomal RNA is filed under the name uncultured bacterium. RNAcentral describes it as "partial 16S ribosomal RNA". It matches the Rfam family "Bacterial small subunit ribosomal RNA", at positions 524 to 776 of the family's 1533-position model. The record is from RNAcentral.
UACGUAGGGGGCUAGCGUUGCUCGGAAUCACUGGGCGUAAAGCGCACGUAGGCGGCUUUCUAAGUCAGGGGUGAAAUCCUGGAGCUCAACUCCAGAACUGCCUUUGAUACUGGGGAGCUCGAGUCCGGAAGAGGUGAGUGGAACUCCGAGUGUAGAGGUGAAAUUCGUAGAUAUUCGGAAGAACACCAGUGGCGAAGGCGGCUCACUGGUCCGGUACUGACGCUGAGGUGCGAAAGCGUGGGGAGCAAACAGG